CUCGCCUACAUGAAGCUGGAGUUACUAGUAAUCGCAGAUCAGAAUGCUGCGGUGAAUGCGUUCCCGGGUCUUGUACACACCGCCCGUCACACCACGGGAGUUGGAGACGCCCGAAGCCGAUUAUCUAACACCUGGAGGAAGGUGGGGAUGACGUCAAAUCAUCAUGCCCCUUAUGCUUAGGGCUACACACGUGCUACAAUGGGUAGUACAGAGGGUUGCCAAGCCGUAAGGUGGAGCUAAUCCCUUAAAGCUACUCUCAGUUCGGAUUGUAGGCUGAAACUCGCCUACAUGAAGCUGGAGUUACUAGUAAUCGCAGAUCAGAAUGCUGCGGUGAAUGCGUUCCCGGGUCUUGUACACACCGCCCGUCACACCACGGGAGUUGGAGACGCCCGAAGCCGAUUAUCUAACCUUUUGGAAGAAGUCGUCGAAGGUGGAAUCAAUAACUGGGGUGAAGUCGUAACAAGGUAGCCGUAUCGGAAGGUGCGGCUGGAUCACCUCCUUUCUAAGGAGA
Molecule: ribosomal RNA, 511 nt
Filed under: Clostridioides difficile
Lineage: Bacteria; Bacillati; Bacillota; Clostridia; Peptostreptococcales; Peptostreptococcaceae
Description: bacterial SSU rRNA
Rfam family: Bacterial small subunit ribosomal RNA
Source: RNAcentral